Molecule: ribosomal RNA, 497 nt
Filed under: uncultured bacterium
Lineage: Bacteria
Description: partial 16S ribosomal RNA
Rfam family: Bacterial small subunit ribosomal RNA
Source: RNAcentral
GACGAACGCUGGCGGCGUGCCUAAUACAUGCAAGUUGAGCGCUGAAGGUUGGUACUUGUACCAACUGGAUGAGCAGCGAACGGGUGAGUAACGCGUGGGGAAUCUGCCUUUGAGCGGGGGACAACAUUUGGAAACGAAUGCUAAUACCGCAUAAAACCUUUAAACACAAGUUUUAAGUUUGAAAGAUGCAAUUGCAUCACUAAAGGAGGAUCCCGCGUUGUAUUAGCUAGUUGGUGAGGUAAAGGCUCACCAAGGCGAUGAUACAUAGCCGACCUGAGAGGGUGAUCGGCCACAUUGGGACUGAGACACGGCCCAAACUCCUACGGGAGGCAGCAGUAGGGAAUCUUCGGCAAUGGACGAAAGUCUGACCGAGCAACGCCGCGUGAGUGAAGAAGGUUUUCGGAUCGUAAAACUCUGUUGGUAGAGAAGAACGUUGGUGAGAGUGGAAAGCUCAUCAAGUGACGGUAACUACCCAGAAAGGGACGGCUAACUACGUG